RNAcentral lists this ribosomal RNA (301 nucleotides) under uncultured bacterium. Its description in RNAcentral is "partial 16S ribosomal RNA". It matches the Rfam family "Bacterial small subunit ribosomal RNA", at positions 509 to 807 of the family's 1533-position model. The record is from RNAcentral.
CAGUCGCCACGGUAAUACGUAGGGUGCAAGUGUUAAUCGGAAUUACUGGGCGUAAAGCGUGCGCAGGCGGUUAUAUAAGUCAGAUGUGAAAUCCCCGGGCUCAACCUGGGAACUGCAUUUGAGACUGUAUGGCUAGAGUGUGUCAGAGGGGGGUAGAAUUCCACGUGUAGCAGUGAAAUGCGUAGGUAUGUGGAGGAAUACCGAUGGCGAAGGCAGCCCCCUGGGAUAACACUGACGCUCAUGCACGAAAGCGUGGGGAGCAAACAGGAUUAGAUACCCCAGUAGUCCCUGUCUCUUAUAC